Anolis carolinensis (green anole) is the source of this 4960-nucleotide long non-coding RNA. RefSeq lists it as uncharacterized. The transcript is spliced from 3 exons. The record is from RefSeq and is a predicted model, not a curated record. Lineage: Eukaryota; Metazoa; Chordata; Lepidosauria; Squamata; Anolidae.
GUUUUUGUUGCUAAUAACGAAUUUGGCCCCCAAAAUUUUUCGAAAUUAACGAAAAUUCGUUAUUUUCGAAAUUAAUUCGUUAAUGGCGGACGCGCAUGCGCGGUCGCCCCAAAACAGCCCCGGGGGGGGGACUUAGGGGGCUCUCCCGCCCUCAUUUUUUGAGUGAUCUUCUUCAAACUUGGUACAGUGGUAGAACACAUUUAACACUGAUAGCUCACCAAAAUGUGGAACGUUUCCCUUAUCCUCUGAUUUUUGGCAAAUUUUCAUAGCUUUUAUAAUAAACCAUUUUUUAAUAAUUGCAGAAAUCUGUUCCUGGUUUGAAAGUCUUAUUUCCUGUUUCAUUGGGUUGUCUUUACUGUGAAAGUCAUUGUUCUACUUCAGAAACUUUGUUUUUGUGGCUGAAACUUUGUUAAAUUGGUGGACCAAACCAUAAUAUGUUCCAUCCAUGUCGCUUGCACAAAGUUCAGGCAGUGUCAUAGAUUUUGCCAUGUUUCUAUGACAGAACCAAUUAGGAAAUGACAUUUAUCACCCAGGAACAGAAAUCGUAGUACACCAUCAAAUCAUUCCUGACAGAUGGCUAUCAGCCUCUGAAUAAGGAAAUUAGUUCCUGGUUUGAAAGUGCUAUUUCCUGUUCCAUUGGCUUUUCUGGGCUGAGAGUGUGUGACUUGCCCAAGUGGGUGGCAGAGUGGGGAAUCAUGCCACAAUUGGAGUCCAAAAUUCAAACCUCUUCCUCCCUCCUUCUCUCUAAACUUCUCAUACCUUCCAAGAAUUCACAUACUGUAUGAAAGUUUGGUCAAGAUGGUCAGAGGAGGGCAACUAAAAUGAUCUAGGGUCUGGAGAACAAGCCCUAUGAGGAGUGGCUUAAAGAACUGGGCAUGUUUAGCCUGCAGAAAAGAAGGCUGAGAGGAGACAUGAUGUAUAAUAUGUGAGGGGAAGUCAUAGAGAGGAGGGAGCAAGCUUGUUUUCUGCUGCCCUGCAGACUAGGACACUGAACAAUGGCUUUAAACUACAGGAAAGGAGAUUUCACCUGAACAUUAGGAAGAACUUCCUCACUGUGAGCUGUUCACCUGUGGAACUCUCUGCCCCGGACUGUGGUGGAGGCUCCUUCUUUGGAGGCUUUUAAGCAGAGGCUGGAUGGCCAUCUGUUGGGGGUGCUUUGAAUGCGAUUUCCUGCUUCUUGGCAGAAUAGGGUUGGACUGGAUGGCCCAAGAGGUCUCUUCCAACUCUACUGUUCAAUGACUCUCUGAUUCUAAGCGAGGACAAAAGGGGGUGGAGAAUGUUAAGAGGAGAGAGGGCCUGGAACACCUGGGAAUUGUAGUUUUAAAGCGGGCAUAAUACUAUUGGAGAAACGUUUGCUUCAGCCCAAUGCUUUUAUAAAUGGUCAAUAUUCAGAGGCUUCCUUCUCCUGCAUUUUGAAAGCUAUUAUGAUGAAAUUUGCCAGAAUGGAAGCAAAAAUUAAGUACUCUUUGCCUAUCAAGUUUCAUAAUGUUUGACCCAUCCACUGAUUUUUGGGGAUUUCUGAAGCAACAUUUUUUUAAAAUGUUAGCAGAUCGAUAGCCACGCCUCCCUGUCCUUCUUCCUUCCACUUUGAUUGGCUUGCUAAGGCUUCUGGGAAAUGGAGUUUUUUCUCUCGUUAUGGCGAAUUGCUUCAUUAAUGGUCAAUAUUCAGAGGCUUCGUUCUCCUGCAUUUUGAAAGCUAUUAUGAUGAAAUUUGCCAGAAUGGAAGCAAAAAUUAAGUACUCUUUGCCUAUCAAGUUUCAUAAUGUUUGACCCAUCCACUGAUUUUUGGGGAUUUCUGAAGCAACAAUUUUUUAAAAUGUUAGCAGAUCGAUAGCCACGCCUCCCUGUCCUUCUUCCUUCCACUUUGAUUGGCUUGCUAAGGCUUCUGGGAAAUGGAGUUUUUUCUCUCGUUAUGGCGAAUUGCUUCAUUAAUGGUCAAUAUUCAGAGGCUUCGUUCUCCUGCAUUAUGAAAGCUAUUAUGAUGAAAUUUGCCAGAAUGGAAGCAAAAAUUAAGUACUCUUUGCCUAUCAAGUUUCAUAAUGUUUGACCCAUCCACUGAUUUUUGGGGAUUUUUGAAGCAACAUUUUUUUUAAAAUGCUAGCAGAUCGAUGUCCCAUGCCUCUCCCUCCCUCCCUCUUCCGCUCUGAUUGACUGAGAGGCAUGCCAACAUGGCUUCUCCUCUACAGCUUCAUCCGAAGACAUCAGAAACAAAUGAAAAAAGCUCACUACUGCUCCUGGUUCUCUGCAAAGGAAGAGAAACAUGCUUGGAAAACAUGUAACCAAAGAAGCAAGAUCUAGGAUACAGUUUGAUGCAAGAAGACGACUUCCCUGGACCUAAACACAAACAUAACAAGGGCACAAAAACAGUGGACAAUUGUGCCCUACAGGCCCAAAAGAAUGUAUGAGAGCAUUCAUGUUUUGCAGAAGGAAAUGGGAAACUGAAGAAGAGAACAAAAUGAAAGUGAGCCUAGCUGGCUAAGUGGAACGUUCAACAGAGUGCUACAAAUUACAAUAACUUUACAAUAACAUCCACAGGCUACCGGUGGUUAAAAAAUUAAAAUACAGUGCAAACAAAAUUUGUAGCAACACAUACUUCACUCUAAAAAAAAACCCUUCAGUUUUAUUUGCCACAUGUUUUUGUACAGUUUACACAGAAUGUAUUUCAUAGGAUUUUUUUAAAAAAACUUUUUAACAGGAUGCCUGUACAUUUCUGAGUUUUUCAGAAUUCUUUAGUUUGAAAUAAAAACCACAGAUACAACUCCAUGAAGUUUGAAACUAAGGGUUUUUUCCAUGCGCUCCAGUGAAAGCAUAAUCAGGAAAGUGUUCUGUGAUAUUAGAGUAUUCCUUUGAUGGCAACACAAAUUAAAUUUAGCUCAAGUUACAUAAAAAUAAUAAUAACCUUAACACUUUUAAUCAGCAUAAGAGGUUUAUAGAUCUGCAAGUGAUUUAAAGGCUGUUGGCCUGGGUACCAAUGCAUUUGCAAUAUUGUGCAUUAGUGAAAUCGCAGAGAUUACAGAGUGGGGAAAACCCUUCAAAAUAAUAAAUGAAAAUAUAUAAAACAAUAAAAACGCUAGGAUCUAUAUAAGAGGAGAAAAGCCUUGUUUUGGCUCUGGGGUUGUAGUAGUUUAUCUCUAGAAUACAAGAAACAGGGAUUUCAUCUUAUAUGGAUCAAAAGUGACAGAGGUUGGGAGUCUGACUGUCUGGCUAAUACAGUAGGAUUAUCCAGCACAUUGGGGAAACAGAUUGCAGUGGAUUUUAUGCAACAUUAACUUAUUUGACCCAACAAAGUGCACAGAGAAAAAGCUGCCCUGUCAUCAUCUUCCCCCAAGCAACCCACAAAAUGCAGCUGCUGAUUCCGAACAGUAACACAUGAGAAGCAAGUAACUUGCUAGGAAAAGGAAAACAUUGAUGAGCCACUCACCUGUAAAAAGGUGGGCUCUUAUAACAAGAUUGCACCCCAGUGCGCACUUGACUUUUGAGUAUGUUACACCAAAUAUGCACAGGACCAGGUAACACCCAUCUAUUAGUCUCAAAUGAUGUUUCAUAGUUUGUGGCUCUCAAAGCCUUAUUAAUCUGCAUUGUUUCUGAGUCACAUAGCUCCACAUCUCCAGCUGUUAAAUGCUCAUUUUGAAGACAGAUGUGUUAUGCAGAACAUUCCCAAAUGUUAUUUUUAUCAUGUAUUUAACUACUUGUUGCAACAGGGUGGAGUUGUGCAAUUCUGGACUGCAAAAGAAAAUUGGUUCUGCAUUCAUGAUUUUAUGAUAAAUAUUCAAAUUGUGAAAAAUAAAUUAAAACUCUUGUGCUAUUACAUUGGCUUGUCCCAUUUCAGUGCAAUCCAGAUGUGUUAGACAAUUAUUGUUGUACACAGCCAACACGAUCACUAGGUAUCCAAAUGGAAAAAGGGCUGAGGUACAAACAUAUUCUUAGGCAUGCAAUUUCAGAUCUAAAUACUAGGUUCUAAAAUGGUGGUGUGUGCUGUAGUGGCUGGACAUGAUGAGGAUGCUUUCCAUCACGAACUUUGCUUCCAACGGGGAUUAUUGACUUCUUCAAACCAGCAGCAUAACAGGUAGACCUGGUUGUCUUUUUUGCUUCUAGGGCCCUGUUUUAAGGGCUGUACACUGGGCCUGCUUCUUCCUGUCUCAAUGGUAAAAUGUCAAAAUAGUUUGUUUUCUUGCACAUGUCCUUCUCAAGGAAUCCCUGUUCCUAAAUAUGGUGGGUUCUGUGUCUGUUGUGAACAUGAGUCUCAGAUGCAUUAAAUUUCUACUCUAGAUAGAAAUGGACCUUGACUGCUGCCAUUCCUUUAAUUUUCUUUCCUUUGACCAUAAUUUAUACAAUAUUUUCUUUACAAAGCAUAUAAACUUUAAUCUUACAAAGGGGAUUCUAGUUUGUCUCAGAACACAGACCACUGUCCUUGAAGACACCACAGAGCACUUUCUCAUUUUUGUUGCACAGGACUAAUUUUGGGCUUUGUCUUAAAGCAGCAAACAGAUUCUAGCAUGUUUUAAAAUUAAAUAACUUGUUGGAACAAUGCAUAGUCACAAUUCCAAAUGCAAUUUAAAUCAUUAACAUUAUCCUAUACAACAUAAACAGUGAAAAGCUUGCAGUAGCUUGAAUAGGAUUUUGAACAAUGGAAGGUGCCUAACCAUGUGGUUGCACAAUGGGAAAAUGAAUCACAGCACAAAUAUGUCUUUUGUAUGAGAUUUUGUCAUGAGGUUCUGCUAUUUCCAUUCAUAAGGGUUUUUAUUUUGUAUAGGGUAUAAAGUAGCUAGGAACUAAGAAGAUUAAACAACCGGCAGAAAUAGUUCGAAAAAAAAUCACUCCCAAGUAUUUGACAUAUGGCAUGUCUGUGGCCUCUGACCUAUUUUCAAAACCCUCUACAAGCAAUCAGUCGAGAUUGUCGCAACUGGCUAGAAUUAUCUUGUCUCUUCAUUGGAUAAAGAAGACAAUGAAAGAGAGAAAG